UAGGGAAUCUUCCACAAUGGACGAAAGUCUGAUGGAGCAACGCCGCGUGAGUGAAGAAGGUUUUCGGGUCGUAAAGCUCUGUUGUUGGUGAAGAAGGAUAGAGGCAGUAACUGGUCUUUAUUUGACGGUAAUCAACCAGAAAGUCACGGCUAACUACGUGCCAG
This 164-nucleotide ribosomal RNA is filed under the name uncultured bacterium. Its description in RNAcentral is "partial 16S rRNA". It matches the Rfam family "Bacterial small subunit ribosomal RNA", at positions 355 to 511 of the family's 1533-position model. The record is from RNAcentral.